RNAcentral lists this ribosomal RNA (531 nucleotides) under uncultured beta proteobacterium. RNAcentral's name for it is "bacterial SSU rRNA". It matches the Rfam family "Bacterial small subunit ribosomal RNA", at positions 348 to 873 of the family's 1533-position model. The record is from RNAcentral. Lineage: Bacteria; Pseudomonadati; Pseudomonadota; Betaproteobacteria.
GCAGCAGUGGGGAAUUUUGGACAAUGGGCGCAAGCCUGAUCCAGCCAUGCCGCGUGCAGGAUGAAGGCCUUCGGGUUGUAAACUGCUUUUGUACGGAACGAAAAGACUUUGUUUAAUACAGGGGGUUCAUGACGGUACCGUAAGAAUAAGCACCGGCUAACUACGUGCCAGCAGCCGCGGUAAUACGUAGGGUGCGAGCGUUAAUCGGAAUUACUGGGCGUAAAGCGUGCGCAGGCGGUUAUAUAAGACAGAUGUGAAAUCCCCGGGCUCAACCUGGGAACUGCAUUUGUGACUGUAUAGCUAGAGUACGGCAGAGGGGGAUGGAAUUCCGCGUGUAGCAGUGAAAUGCGUAGAUAUGCGGAGGAACACCGAUGGCGAAGGCAAUCCCCUGGGCCUGUACUGACGCUCAUGCACGAAAGCGUGGGGAGCAAACAGGAUUAGAUACCCUGGUAGUCCACGCCCUAAACGAUGUCAACUGGUUGUUGGGUGUUCAUUGACUCAGUAACGAAGCUAACCGUUGAAGUGACCGCC